CAGCAGCCGCGGGAAUACGUAGGUGGCGAGCGUUGUCCGGAAUUAUUGGGCGUAAAGGGAGCGCAGGCGGACAUAUAAGUCCAUCUUAAAAGUGCGGGGCUCAACCCCGUGAGGGGAUGGAAACUGUAUGCCUUGAGUGCAGGAGCGGAAAGCGGAAUUCCCAGUGUAGCGGUGAAAUGCGUAGAUAUUGGGAGGAACACCAGUGGCGAAGGCGGCUUUCUGGACUGUAACUGACGCUGAGGCUCGAAAGCCAGGGGAGCGAACGGGAUUAGAUACCCCUGUAGUCCCUGUCUCUUAUACA
Molecule: ribosomal RNA, 301 nt
Filed under: uncultured bacterium
Lineage: Bacteria
Description: partial 16S ribosomal RNA
Rfam family: Bacterial small subunit ribosomal RNA
Source: RNAcentral